RNAcentral lists this non-coding RNA (19 nucleotides) under Arabidopsis thaliana (thale cress). The record is from RNAcentral. Lineage: Eukaryota; Viridiplantae; Streptophyta; Magnoliopsida; Brassicales; Brassicaceae.
CGUCUAGCUCAGUUGGUAG